Molecule: ribosomal RNA, 334 nt
Filed under: uncultured bacterium
Lineage: Bacteria
Description: bacterial SSU rRNA
Rfam family: Bacterial small subunit ribosomal RNA
Source: RNAcentral
GAUGAACGCUGGCGGCGUGCUUAACACAUGCAAGUCGAACGGAGAUGCCAUUUUCGAGGCGAUUAGUUUACUAAGAGCCAAGAUGUUGGUAUCUUAGUGGCGGACGGGUGAGUAACGCGUGGGUAACCUGCCUUACACUGGGGGAUAACACUUAGAAAUAGGUGCUAAUACCGCAUAACAGAGGGAGUCGCAUGACUUCGUCUUAAAAACUCCGGUGGUGUAAGAUGGACCCGCGUCUGAUUAGCUGGUUGGCGGGGUAGCGGCCCACCAAGGCGACGAUCAGUAGCCGGCCUGAGAGGGUGAACGGCCACAUUGGGACUGAGACACGGCCCAA